RNAcentral lists this transfer RNA (77 nucleotides) under Sphaerodactylus townsendi. RNAcentral describes it as "tRNA-Ala". Lineage: Eukaryota; Metazoa; Chordata; Lepidosauria; Squamata; Sphaerodactylidae. The record is from RNAcentral.
GGGAGGAGCCUAUGGCUCAGUGGUAGACCAUGUGUUCGGCAUGCAGAAGUUCUCUGGUUCGAUCCCGGGUCACUCCA